This 274-nucleotide ribosomal RNA is filed under the name uncultured bacterium. Its description in RNAcentral is "partial 16S ribosomal RNA". It matches the Rfam family "Bacterial small subunit ribosomal RNA", at positions 523 to 796 of the family's 1533-position model. The record is from RNAcentral.
AUACAGAGGGUGCAAGCGUUAAUCGGAAUUACUGGGCGUAAAGCGCGCGUAGGCGGUUUAAUCAGUCGGAUGUGAAAGCCCCGGGCUCAACCUGGGAACUGCAUUCGAUACUGUUAAGCUAGAGUAUGCUAGAGGGAAGUGGAAUUCCAGAUGUAGCGGUGAAAUGCGUAGAUAUCUGGAGGAACAUCAGUGGCGAAGGCGACUUCCUGGACCAAUACUGACGCUGAGGUGCGAAAGCGUGGGGAGCAAACAGCAUUAGAAACCCUAGUAGUCC